UACAGAGGUCUCAAGCGUUGUUCGGAUUCAUUGGGCGUAAAGGGUGCGUAGGUGGCGCUGUAAGUCAGGUGUGAAAUUUCGGAGCUUAACUCCGAAACUGCAUUUGAUACUGCGGUGCUCGAGGACUGGAGAGGAGACUGGAAUUUACGGUGUAGCAGUGAAAUGCGUAGAGAUCCGGAGGAACACCAGUGGCGAAGGCGACACGCUGGGUCACACCUGACGCUAAAGCGCGACAGCAUGGGGAGCGAACGGG
This 253-nucleotide ribosomal RNA is filed under the name uncultured bacterium. RNAcentral describes it as "partial 16S ribosomal RNA". It matches the Rfam family "Bacterial small subunit ribosomal RNA", at positions 524 to 776 of the family's 1533-position model. The record is from RNAcentral.